Erigeron canadensis is the source of this 967-nucleotide long non-coding RNA. RefSeq lists it as uncharacterized. The record is from RefSeq and is a predicted model, not a curated record. The transcript is spliced from 2 exons. Lineage: Eukaryota; Viridiplantae; Streptophyta; Magnoliopsida; Asterales; Asteraceae.
ACUCUCUAUCUUAGACCCAAAAACUUAUGUCGCUCCUCCUUCACCCUUCCCUGUCUCUCUCUCUUUGUUCCAGCACCACCAUCAUCCGAUCCAUCAUGGGUUUUUAUGUCAUCAUUCGAUCAGCUUUUGUAUCAAUCAUUUUUGGGGGUUACCAUCCGAUCAGAUUUAAUAUCAUCAAUUUAAUAUCAUAAUCGAAUCAUCAAUUUUAAUGCAACCAUCACCAUCAUCAGCUUUUAUAUCAUCAGCUUUGGGGGGUUUCAUGAAAUUAUGUGUAUCAUCCUUGUUUUUAUAUAAUCAAAAAAUAUUUAUUAUAAUUCUGGGUUAUGGUUAUUGUUCUUAAAAAUAAUUCAUAAUUUAAUGAUAUUAGGUGAAGGGCUCAAAAGAACCAUAAAUCCCUACCAAAUAUUUUGGAUAACAACAUUAUUUGAUAACAACAUUAUUGGUUUAAAGGUGUCAUUUACUUUGUUUAUGAUACAUCGAUUAUGAUUAAAUGUUCAUUCUUUCACUUCUUAUUUCGUCGAUCUUGAUUGUUUUCCAAUUACAAAGGUGUACUUACUAUAAUACUAAUACAAAAGAGCUAAGCUGCCAACGCAGCCACCACACCAGUUUUUUGAGUUAAAUCUCAUUCUGUAUGGGCGUCUUUGAAGUUAGCCCGUCGACGGAUACCUGGAAUUAAUUCAUGAAGAUCUUAUGCAGGGAGGUCCGAUAGAUCAUGCGUCACUUAUACCGCGGUUAGCAAUGGCUGUACCAAAAUCAUUUGCGAAGAGAGAGAAGAAUGAUUUGGGCAAUCGCAAGGAUGUUGCCAAGGUUGAUGUCGAGGAAAUGUCUUCUUUUAUUAGCUCUUUAAAUUAAUGAGAGGUAAACAAAUAGAUGCAUAAUAUAAGAAUUAUGUAAACUGUAUGAUUUGGUAGUGUAUUUGUGUGUGAAUUAUAUGAAUCAAAUAAACUCUCUGAUUGAGUAGUUAUAA